Molecule: ribosomal RNA, 399 nt
Filed under: uncultured bacterium
Lineage: Bacteria
Description: bacterial SSU rRNA
Rfam family: Bacterial small subunit ribosomal RNA
Source: RNAcentral
AUUGAACGCUGGCGGCAUGCCUUACACAUGCAAGUCGAACGGCAGCACGGGAGCUUGCUCCUGGUGGCGAGUGGCGAACGGGUGAGUAAUACAUCGGAACGUACCCUGAAGUGGGGGAUAACGUAGCGAAAGUUGCGCUAAUACCGCAUAUUCUGUGAGCAGGAAAGCAGGGGACCGCAAGGCCUUGCGCUCUUUGAGCGGCCGAUGUCAGAUUAGCUAGUUGGUGAGGUAAAGGCUUACCAAGGCGACGAUCUGUAGCGGGUCUGAGAGGAUGAUCCGCCACACUGGAACUGAGACACGGUCCAGACUCCUACGGGAGGCAGCAGUGGGGAAUUUUGGACAAUGGGGGCAACCCUGAUCCAGCCAUGCCGCGUGAGUGAAGAAGGCCUCGGUUGUAAG